Molecule: ribosomal RNA, 486 nt
Filed under: uncultured bacterium
Lineage: Bacteria
Description: bacterial SSU rRNA
Rfam family: Bacterial small subunit ribosomal RNA
Source: RNAcentral
GAUGAACGCUAGCGACAGGCCUAACACAUGCAAGUCGAGGGGCAGCACGGGAGUAGCAAUACAACUGGUGGCGACCGGCGCACGGGUGAGUAACACGUAUGCAACCUACCUGUAAGCGGGGAAUAACCCGUUGAAAGACGGACUAAUACCGCAUAAUACUAGAUUACUGCAUGGUAAUUUAUUUAAACAUUUAUGGCUUACAGAUGGGCAUGCGCAUGAUUAGAUAGUUGGAGAGGUAACGGCUCCCCAAGUCAACGAUCAUUAGGGGUUCUGAGAGGAAGGUCCCCCACACUGGUACUGAGACACGGACCAGACUCCUACGGGAGGCAGCAGUGAGGAAUAUUGGUCAAUGGACGAGAGUCUGAACCAGCCAAGUCGCGUGCAGGAAGAAUGUCCUAUGGAUUGUAAACUGCUUUUGCAGGGGAAUAAAGUGCAUCACGUGUGAUGUUUUGUAUGUACUCUGCGAAUAAGGAUCGGCUAACUCCG